AAAAAGAAGAGUAAAUGUAGUUAAUGACUAAUACAUAACUCGAAGCUGGUAAUAUAAUCCUAGCGUGAAAGCCUGAUGGUUGUUUCUAUGGAAAAAAAAAGUUACCAUGCCUCAUGAAUAUUGGAAAUGUUCAGGUACAAGAAUUCUCAUAUCUUCCAUACAGAUUUCAUCAUUUGAAGAUGUCACACAUGUGUCACCCACAUGCUAAAAGGGCACAGCGGCAAUGGAAUUUGGAGUUUGCAGCAGCAGGAUUUCUUUGUCUGAAAGCUGGUGCUUACUUAUUUCUUCUAGUGGCAGAUUCUAUAAUGGCAGAUCUGUUUUUUUGUGUAGAAACACUGGUGCCUUUUUGGCCUUUUAGCAGGACCUUCUUUUUGCAGAUGCCAAGCUCUGAGGGAUCUUAAAGAACAAAGCUUUAAGCUCUUUUCUUCUUUCUUGCUUUAGUGGGAGACUUCAAUGAUUUGCAGCCUUAAAUACUUGUGGUAAGGAUCCCUGCUUCCCCUCUAUUUGCAUGCCUUGUAAUGAUGGUACAUUUUUUAUUUUUUACUGUUAAUUGUACUUAACAGUGCUUAACCGAGAUGAUUAGGAUCAUCAUUGUCAUCACCAUGAUUAUAUCUUCAUAAUUAGCGCAAAAACUCAACUUAAAAAGCCUUACCAAAUGUGUUUGUGUGUGUGGAUCCACGUUUAUAUCUUGUUCGGAGGGGAAGGACUCCUGUUCAUGUCUUGCCACCCUUGAUAAUGGGGAUUCAUUUAAGAAAAGAGAAAGUUGAAGAGGUGUAAUUUGUAAGGAAUUUUCAAAUAAUUAAAGAACUUACUGUAUAAUUGUGAUGGUUUAACCAAUAUUUAAGCAUCAAUUAUUGGUGUUUAGUGGCCUGCAAGACCUCAUCGAAUCAUACAAGGUAUGCCCUCGCUUUCAUACACAACACUAAUCUAAUUAUUAUCUCCUGUUUCUCCAUUUAUGAGCUACAAUAUUAGCUUGUGGACCUUCAUCUCACAAGAUAGACUACUGUUCUUUCUCUGCAAUAUCGAAACCUAAUCAAUUCCCAGUUGUAGCUAACAGCAUCAGCCACUUAAAGGACCAAAAGCAUAUUAAUCAUCAACCACCAUGUUUAUAGCAUGACAUAUACUGGAAGCUUGAAAUUGAAAACCACGAUUUUUAGUCCAUUUUUUUAGUACACAAGCUUGCUUCACAUCUUUCAAGAUCAAUAAUGAAUAAAGCUUUCCUGUCACCAUCGAUGUUUUCUAGUAAUUUGAACUCUCAAAUCAAUACAAUAUCCCUCUCAAAAUAAAUAGGUAAUUAAUACAUAAAAAAUACGCAAUUCAUCACAGAGGGUAUCUAGGUUGAAAAGGUCUAAAUGUAACACAAAAUCAUCAUAAAAAAAUGAUAAACUUACCUGCUGUUCCGUAUAUAGAUCUUCAAGUCACCUCUGGCAUACUAGCUAUAACACUAAUCUAAGCUCCAAAAGACCAGCAAUGAGCUUAACAAAUCAAUCAAAUUGUAUAGUAACUCAUAAUUAGUUUUAGAAAUCAAAUGGCUUUCCUACUAGCAGGCAUGCAGCUCGAGAGAUGAAAACAAAAGUGGCUCCCAAUGUAAUUAAUUUCUUGUGCUGCUGUCAAAAGUACUCUAUAUAUUGAUGGGAUUUCAAGAUAAAAAUAAAAGAUAAAGGCUAAUGAAAAAUAUAUGCACACAAACAAAUCCUCCAAAAGAUGGUAGUUGAAAUUCCUUAACUUUUUAUUAGGGAAAAACAAGAGCCAGUAUCUGCCCUUUCAUAUCAAAACUGAUAUAUCCCUAACUACAGUACUGUAUGAUUAAAGCAAGAACACGAGAAAUAAAGAAAAGAACAGCAUUUUCGCAACAGUUUUUUUUCUUAACUACACUUGAAAGCAAGCUCUACCACAAAAUAUAAUCUCAUUGUCAUUGAAAUAUCACUGAUAUCCCAUUGUUUUUCUGGUAGAAACAUGAUAGACCAGGAAAUUAAAGAAUAUAUAUCUACACUUGGAACUAGAAUAUUCAAGGACAGAAACUAGCUGUCUAUAAGGUGCUAAAACAGUGAAUCCGAUCUUCAUCAGAUGCCAUAGUCAUGAUAAAAAUAAGAAAAAAGAACUGAAGGAAAUAAAAUGGCAACAAUCUAAUCCAUGUUAUCACUAAAUCACGUCGAUUGAAGUUGGGUUUUCAUGGAAAAAUCCAACCAACACUACUAAAUAUUCCCUUUUCGACAAAUUAAUUAAACACCACCGCCGCUGCUUAAUUAGGUAAAUCAAAUCUUUUAAAUUAGUACAUGAAGAAUAAAGCCAAGAAAUUACAACUGGAAGCAUCUUUUGCAGGUAUGAAGAGACUAAAAGCAAGUGGUCUCCCUGUCUUGACAACAACUUGAAGGGAAAAAGUCACACACUUGUCCAUGAUCACCAAAACUUGAUAUCAGUGAUUAACUAACUUUUCAUACAGCUGAUAUCAAAGCAUUACAAUCCUUUUUUACAUAAUUAAGAUAUGCCCUAUGAGGCCUAUAUUCCUAUCCCUUAUAUUCAUUAAUUCUUUAAUUAACACCUACUAAUAAAAUUCAAGCGCUCUUUUAUGUUGGUGCAAUAUUCAUGAUACAACUUAUCCGUAUCUUGGCCUGAACUUAGAUAUGUAGAGUUGGAUAUAAAAAACUUAUUUCUCCAUUUUAUGUUGUUAGGUUACAAAAUUAAUUUUUAUCGAAAGAUUCAUAUUAUUUGAAGCAUUAAAUCUAUGCUUUUGUCUCCGUAAGACUACAAGAUGUGUGCAUGGCAAUUACUGAGCUAUACAAUAUCAUGCCAAUGAGCCUUGUUUUGGAUUUAAUCUUUUUGGAAACUCUUCAGAUACAGAAUACUGAAGAAUAAAAGGGAAAAACAACAAUCUCACAGAAACUUCUGAUGUUAUGCUUGAAUGUCUGAUAAAGAGAUUGAAUCAGCAAAAUGCUUAUGAAGCGUAAGUAGUCUAUGAAAAUGCCCCAACUGCCACCUCAUGUGGAAGUGCUGUUCGAGUGCUAAUUAAUACUAUAUAUGUGAGGAAACUCACUGCAAUUUAUAAUCUGGGAAACCACAGAAUGCUAAUUAUCCAACAGAUGAAUGUAACAUCCUGUGUAGGUUUGUCAAUUUCUGUUCAGAAUUGUGGGUCACCAACACCAAGCUGGACCCCAAACCGUGUGCAAUUAAGGAUGAAACCAAAUUUGUACCACCAUUUGUCUCCUAUUCAGUUUCACUCCCAAAAUCAGUACAAAAUUGUAAGGGUUAGGUGAGGCCAAAAUUAAUAUAGUGAGAGACAUGAUGAAAAGAUUGCAGAAACCAAGUAUAUAUGCAAUUAUGAGAGCAUUGGAUUUACCACCAUAUACACAAUAUAAAAAAUACAUUAAUAUAUACAUUUCCUAACUAGCUUGCCUUUCUUGUGUUUUGUGAAUUUAAUUUACAUAUUGAUUCUUGGUACUACCUGCAGCCCACUAGUAAAGACAAACAUGGAAGCAUCCAGCCAUGCAGGCAGGAGAGAUAUGGAUAAUAUAUUGUCUUUCUUGGCAUUUUUUAGUUGUUGUAAGAGAUAUAGCUGGAUCUGAGUCGGUUAAAAAAUCAACAAUACACUGAUUGGACAGGCAAAUGUGUGAGUGUCUACUUGUGUAUGUUUGCAUAUGCAUAAUUCUUGUGUUUGCAAUAAAGGAAAAUAGAGGUGUUAAUUAUUGAGAUCAAAAUCACAUCGUAAUCAACCUGAAAUUGCAAUUUCAAUGGCAACUAAUCCAGAGAUAAACAAUAAAAGAAAAGAAAGGGAAGAUGAAGCAAGAACCAAAGAAUUGAUCACCUGGUAUGAAGCACCUGUGACUCUGUGAGAGCAAAUUAGACCCCAGAAAGCAUGUUUUAGAAUCUCUUCUGCUGUUUGUGAGUGAGUGAUUGAAGCUGCUAGAUGACCUGAUGGAACCAUAUACUUUUAUAGCUCUGAGUUCAAGCUAGUUUCUAAUUAGGUUUCUACCCUUUUGCCUGGAAAAUACAUAUACCAUUUAGGUACAAGUUUACCUAUGCGUCUUCCUAUUAGUGCAAUUCCCUUUCUCGACAAUUUUACUGGGAAAAUCACCAGUAUAUUCUGUUUUCAUUGCCUAAAAACUCACAAGCAAUUGAUCAUCAUAAGAUCAAAAACAUGCAUCCUAAACUAGCUAGUAAUACAAACCUAGCUACCACGAUUCAGUAUAUAUCUUUGACAACAUUAAAUUUUUUCUACCUACAAAUACUGCGAUAAGAUUAAUGUUAAUAUAUAUAUAUAAAUGAGAGUAACACGUUCAUUACCAGAUCAUGCUGGCAGCUUCAACCUCUCAAACCAACAUAUUAGACAAAUUGAAGGAAGAACCAAAACGGGGGGAGUGAGUUUUGGCCUUUUUUGGGAAAUUUGGAAAGCGAAGAGGUCUAAUUUAAAGGGAAAGAAGCAGAAGCUUAAUUUCUCACCUAAAGAUUGACAAAGGAAAGCACGAGCUGUGCAUGUUUUAGGUAGAGGAAUCCUCGUGACUCUCCCUCUCCGUUUAUAUAAAUGCACCUCUCUCUCUUCUUCCCCCACUCUGUUGUACUGUGUCAUAGAUGGAGUAUUUAAUGGUGAGUUUUGGCCCUUCCUUACAGCUACUGACACGGACCUCUUGCCUCUCUUUCCUUCUCUCUUCUCACUACACAAGGUUACAUGAAUGAAUAUAUCAAUGAGAAGGGACCACCACUUGGUCCUCCUAACAAUCAAAGAAACCCUGCUCUCAACUAAGAUUAAUUAAUUUAAUCUCUUACUGUUAUAUGUCAAAGAAAUUAAGUUGUUAAGGUCAAACUAAAAAGUGGUUGAAUGAAAAAUCAACUGAAAGUAACAUGCAUGAUUAAUUAUACUUUUAACAAAGAUAAUAAUAAUAUUGUAAAUAAUAAUUUCUAUGAAUAUAUAGGACAGCUAGGUUUGUAAAUUAAAUAAUGAAAUAUUAGCGGGCAUAAAUCAUUUUACCGUCUCGAGAAGCAAAGUAGGUGAAAAGAAGAAGACUCCUUGAAAAGACAAUUAGAUCAAAACCUUCAAGGAGUAAGAACAUGGUAAAUCUAUAAUAUUUAAUUAGGAAACAAAAUAGAAAAGCUUAAUAAUACUAAAUAGAAAAAAAAAAACUAUUCAUUUAAGUAGAAAAACUAGAAAUUCCUGAUAAUACUAAGUAAAAUGAUAAAAAUAAUCAAGGGAAAAUAUUUAUUUUUCCAUAAAGCUUAUGCAUCAAAUGGCGUUUCUAAAUUAGGAAGAUGUCCUGAUUAAGCAUGCAAUAGUUUAUGUCGGGUAAAUGGUAGUCUAUGUGCACAACCAUUCUAUGUAAAAAUAGAAUGAUUUUAGCAAGAAAAAAGGUUAGAAAUCAAAUGAUGCCCUAGAGAGACGCCAGCCAGUAAGAGUAAGGGCCGGCUAGCCUUUUGACCUAUUCUAAGGGCAGGUUAAUUUUCUAAUAGAAUUAAGAGGGAGAGUUCCAUACAUAGCAUGUGGAUUUGUAAGAAUAGGUUAAUUGGAAGAUGGGAAAGAGAAAAAGGGCAGUGCACGCUUGAUUUGUCAUGGAUCAUGUCUUUUACCCUAUGGACUGCAUGCCCUGAGUGUUUUUUUUUAUGUUUUUUAUAUCUAAAACGGUGCGUGCUGCUAGCUAGCUAGAAUGCAGAUGGCUGUGAUAAAUAAUCUCGCCAUGAUCAGCUAGGGUUUCUCAAGCUCGCUCCUCUGAUCAGCAGUAAGCAUGCCUGGCGACUAAAAAAGAGGGCAGUUGCCAUGUGCUUAGUGAGCUCCUUGGACCUACAGCAACACCAUUACAAUAAAUACUGCUUCAUUAUUUAUUUGAAGUGUAUGUAUUGGCCAGGUUGGUGGAAUCAGUAGAGGGCAUCCUUUUGUCUUUAGCUUUGGGUGGUUCUUCUGUCUUUGGUUGACAAACAAUGACAUGUAGACAAGCCCUAAUGGAAGGCAAGGACCACACCUUUUUCUUUAAUAUUCAGAUUAAAUGGAUAGGCCUCACAUGGUUUUGCUUUGUGAUCUAGCUCAAAGAGUUGAAUCUUCAUUUGAUUAAGGUAGGUGUGGUGGUGGUUCGUGAAUAAAGCAAUAUUGCGAGAUUAGGGUUUUUUUUCCCUCUCUCACUAACUCAUCGGUGUUCUCUUCUUUUCCCUAUGUUUUUGGUCCCACUUUUGCUUGGCUGUUCGUUUGUUCUUCCUUUGUAGAUAGGGUUUGGAGAUGCCUUUUGUUUGCCCCAUGGUUAUCAUUUUCUGCCCGUCCGGGGUGGUCUCAUGUCCAUUAUCUCUUAAAGUAGGUUUUGUGAUCAUAAUUAAUUUGCUCCAAAAAAUCUGGUUAUGUAUUUAUUUCAAAGAAAUCCAUUGAGUAAUUUCUCUUCUUUUUGCACCCUCCAUUUCUAGUCUCUUCUUAUCCUUUGCCAUUAUUUUUUUUUGGGGUAAAGCUCUCAAAGCGCAGUUGUUGGACAAAGACAGCACCAUUAAAGCUGAGCUUUUAACCAGAAAGUUGGGACGCAGCUUCACUAUUCACCAUCCAUUUAAUCUAAAUAAGGAAUUCAAAUUAUGACUGAGCUCUCCAAAUCAAGCUGGCAGCGCUUGUAUAGGCCAGAACAAAUCUAUCCCUGUACCCCUUUUUGAUUAUUUUUUUUCUCUUCUUUGAAUUAGGGUACAUGGAAUGCGAGUGGAGCAUAUAGAUAAAUAAGAUCGUUUUUGUCCUGUAAUUUGUGGUUCGAAAUGUAUAAUAUUUUAAGUUUUAAAUAAAUGAAAAGAGAAGCAAGUGCCUAGGAAGAUUAACUCUAAGAAGUAAAAUCCUCCGUUGAUGUUCUUUUCCUAUUAAUCGAGGUCAAGUAGCUAGCAUCACAUGGGAUCAAGCGAGGUGACAACUUGUACCAACCAGAAGCUUUUUUAGCCAGUCUUCCUUUGACCUUUCCACAGUUUUUUUCUUUUUAAAUUCGAUCCUCCCUAUAUCUUUACAUUUUACUCCUUGGAAAAUGGAUUUAUUGAUUGUCCUAUCUGUCUCAUAACAUGUGUAAUUUGAACUUUAGCUUAACCUUGAGCUAAAUACAUAGGUCCAUUGCUCAUGGAAUCUUUUUCCUUUCCUGCUCUCUAAAGUAAGAACAAUUAAAAAGAUUGUUUGAUUAAUAUGACUUGUUAACUGCUCAUGCAUUUCUAUGACCUAAAUCUUGGGAGAGAGCUUUUUGGUUUCAUGGAGCCAUAUCUAGGGUUUGUUAGGAGCUUCGCAAACCUAAUGUCACUUGUCCUUCAUUAAUUGGCAUGGGAAUGAGAGCAGCGGCUUCCUAAGAGUGCAGAACCAUACCUUUUCUUUUUCUUUUUUUCUUUUUUUCUGAUUCUUGUAUCAUGCUCAACUCAUCAAGAAGUGGAAAAGAGUGUAUAUCUAGUAUCAACCUAAAAUAGGAAAGUCGAAAUCUGUGCUCCAUAUGUAUUAACAAUUAAUUUUUAGAGAACACUUCCCUAAAGAAAAAAAAAAAGUAUGUAGAGAACACUUUUAUUCAGAUUAAAUUUAUAGAGAAAAAACUAAUAGUGAUGAAGGGAAAAAAUAAACACAUAAAUGUAAUCAUUUUCAGACAAUUAUAUAAUGAUUAGACAACCUCAUUAUUAAAAAGCAAAAUUAAUCUGUAAUACAAUAUUAGAAAUUGACUAAUCAUUUCCCUCCAUCCCAUCGUAAUUAAGGGUGUGUUCCUUGUUUGUCUAAAGUUUAAAUUAUUUUGAUGUAUUUAUAUUAAAAAUAAAUUUUAAAAAAUAAAAAAAAUUGAUAAACUUCAAGAAAAAAACAUUUGAAAUACAAUUUCUUCAAACAUUCACUAAAUGUUAUUAAUAUAUCUAACAAGCACACCAUCCAAGUCAAAAACUCUCGUUUAUAUACAUGCAUGCUAGGCUGGAUAGCUUGUUAGUCAAAAACAUUAAGCAUUGUAAAUUGUGUAUAUAUAUAAAUACUGUAAUUUUUUUGUGUGAAAUAGUAAAUACAUAUUUGAGAUCGACACUGUUCUAAAAAGAAGUAUAGACGUGUCUCUUGGAGAGCAUGAUUAAUGAAGUUGGAUUUUCUUGUCCAAUUAAGCUGCUUGUGGGGGUCCUAGGCAAUGUGAUUGUGUUUCUAUGUUUCCUAUGCUGAUCAUGCGUAUAAUUAAAUGUGUAAUGAUGCUUUCGAUAAUGACCAUGGCAAACAUGUUUAGUUCAAAUCUACGUAUAAGAUAAUGAUUAAGAUGCAUUAACCAUAGUGACAAGUGAUACGUGUAAGAACAAUAAACAAUGGAAAAAAGCAAACUAAAUUCUUUUCCUCGUAAUUAGGCAAAACCGGAACCAAUCCUCAUAAAGAUGCUUGACGAAAUUAAUAUGAUUUGAAGUCCAUAGCUAAAUAAUAAAUGAUGUAAAAGUCACCAACAAAUAGGAUGGAUUAUUCUUUAGAUGGAAUCUCUUAGGGCUCAAAGCUUUCAAAGUUUUCAAAUUUGACCCUUAAGUUUAAGGAUUACUUCAAGAAAAGGGCACACCUUCGCUAGCUCGAAAUAUUAUUUAUUUAUUUAUUUAUUUUAUUUGUAACCCUUCUUAGUUUAUUUCAUCUUGAGAUCGACUGUCAUUUCAUUGGCUCCCAUUUAAAGAAAAUGUUAGUGCCUUCUAUUCUUUUUCACAUAUUAAGGUGUAGUCACCACAAAUAAUGGACUAAAGAUUCCUUUGUGCAUGUUAGUGUUCUAGAAGUAUCAAAGUCUUGGAGGAGAAGAUGUGUCAAGGGUUGACAAGUCAAGGCACAUCACUAUGAGAUUGAAUCAUAAAAGGAAUUGUUUGCUUUAUUUCCCAAUCGGGUCUCAAAUGUUUCGGGCAAAAGUUUGAUUUGAUAAUAUGAAAAUAUAUAAAUAUAUCCAGCCCAAAAGAAUAGUAUAAGAAAAGGUUAAAGUAUAAAGUGUAAGUAAAAUCAUAUUUUUUUAAGGAGGAAAUAAUUAAUAUAUGUUUUUAAGAGAUCGAAUUGAUGUGAUAAAUUAAAAAAAAAUUAGGGUUGACCAAUAAAAAGAAGCAUCCUCUUUUUCUUAGAAUAAUAGAAUUAGUAUUGGUUCAAAAGAGAAGAAAAAAAAUUCAUUUGGCAUCCUAUUUUAUCCCACAGACCCAUACCACUUUUGUUAAUUAAUAGCUAUUUAUUAUAAACAAGAGCCACCGCUUUAAAAUGAGUGUCGACAUGUAUACUAAAUGAUCUUUUGUAGAGAUUGUUAGAGAUGGCAAUGAGUUAUAAAUCAAUUGGUAUAAUGUUUUGUUUUUUCAUAUUACUAAAAAGAAUUAGAGCUUAUUGUUAAAGAUGUAAAAAUUACUUACUAGAACUGAAAAAUUGAGAGGAUUGAUACAAUCAUAGGUUUUCUUUUUCUAAAUGCAAAGUGAUGUUUAUAAUAAAUAAUUUAGAUUUAAUAUGCUAUCUGAAUUAAUUGAUAAAAAUAAAAGAAUUAAUUCAGAUGUAACAAAUCAUGGCUUGUAUAUAUUAUUCAUAUUCAGUCGGGUUGAUUGUAAUUUAAAAAUUCUAACUUUCCAUUUAAUCCAUUAUAUCAAUUUUUUAGAAAUUUUUUAAUCAAUUAUUAUUUAUAAUAUCUAUAUUAUUUAAUUUUAACAUGAUGGAUCGAGUUAAAUAAUAUAAAUAUUAAUGAUAUAUUAAUUAUUUUUAACGCCCCUACUAAAUACUCCAAGUUUAAAAGGGACUUCCAAAAUCUAACUUCACUCAAAUCCAGCUUUGAAGUAACCAAAAGGGGAGGAGUCAUGAAUCUAAAUUCCUAAUAAUAAAAUAAAAGAAAAAAAGAAAAAUCAUCUUACGUAACUUAAUUGGAAGAAUCUAUAUAUAAAAUAGUUUCAAUCAUAUUUUUAUUUUGAUACAAAAUUCAAAGAUUAAUUAGACCGUAGUAAAAUAAAAUUAAUUAGAUGGGAGUAAAAUAUUAUUCUAGUUAUUAUUGAUCAACUCCAUUUGUUUUAAUAAAUUAUGUAAAUUCUACUUUUCUAUUUAAUUUAGUUAGAAAUCAAUUUUUUUUUAUCAAUUUAUAUAUUGUUAAUUACUAGUUAAAAGAAAGGAAGGAAAAUUAAUGUAAAGUUAAAAGAAAAUUAAUAAAUUUAAAGGUAUAAUCGAUCCGGUUUUCCAUAUUUAUAUAGAAAUACUAAAUUUGUUUUAUUAAAUAAAACAGACAAGGUAAUUAAUUAGAAAUAUACAUCACAUUAAAGUAUUUGAUGAAUAACAACAACAACAUGGAAUAUCAAUUCAACAAAAAUCCAUAAUGUUUUAUUUAAAAAAAACAUUAAAACAGUCUUUAAAGAUUAUUUAAAGAAAUAAAAUACAUAAGUAUAUAAUAUUUAUAUAAAGAAAACUAUGGUUAUUAAAUCAUUCACUUGGAGGUGUAAUUUAAUAUUAUUGUACAAAAAUUAUUAUCUCGCUCUCAAAAUAUUAUAAUUAUAAUAAGUAAAUCUAAAAGGUACAGGGAAUGCACUCUCUAAAAUAUAUUAUGGAUCCCUUCAUAUGGUACUAUCGACAAACUGUGCUUUUUUAAAAUAAAAAAAAAAAUUGAAUUGGCCCUUAUUGGAUUAAAUUAUAGGCCAAUUUGUUAGGGAAUGGUAGGGUUGAAAGAUGGGACAUCAAAGCUAAAAUAUAGAAGGAGUGGGUGGCUUUAAUAAAGUUUGAGUGAAAUAUUUAUAGUAAUUCCUCACUUUUUAAAUUAUAAACAUCGGGUCUUUUCAGUUUUUAAAAUUUAAAGACAAAAUCAAUUUUAAUCUCAAACUUUAUUUUUAUUUUUUCAUCUUUAAUUUGAGAGAUUUGAGAAAAAAUCGCUAGGAUUUGGUGCUAGAGAAAGAAAAUUUGUAUUGGCACUUAUUGUUAAAAAAGGCCAAUAUUUGUAUUAAAUUGUUUAUUUAAUAAGAGGAGUUCACAUUAAGUCAUGAAAUUACAUAAAAAUAUAUAUUUUUAACUAGGUAUGAUUUUUUAUAUAUAUUUUGAGAUGGUUUAUUGGGCUUUUUGAGGCUGUAAAUAAGUUUAUCAAAUUGUUUAGAAUAUUUUCUAGGUGUUUUGUGUUAAAAAACAAAUUGAAAAUUGAGUUUUUGGAUUGAAAUAUUUAAUAUAUGUUUAUUUCUAUUAUUAUUUGAUUAAAUAAAAAAUUAAUUUUUAUAAAUAAAAUUUUGAAAUAAAACUUUGUCAAAGGCUUAAGUUAGAGGCCAAAUAUCUUAGUCUAUACUCUCCUCUUAAAUUUUUAAUUUAUAUAUUUAUUUAUCGUCAAUAAAUUUUUAUUUAUCUAUUAACACAUAGUUUUUUAUUUAUUUGAUUAGAUUUUUACGAAAAAUUUUUUAUUUCCACUUGAAAUUUUUUUUAUAUAAAAAAAGUGUAAGAAAAGCAUGCAUAUUCAUUUAUUUGUUUUUAGAAAAAAAAUCUGAUUAUCUGCCGCGGGUCAAAUAGCCACCUAGUUAAUUCUAUUUCUAGUUUACCUGACGGUCAAGCCCAAUAAAACCAUGCUUCGAAAAGAUCUGAAUAUCAAAUUGCUAAUAAAUGGGCUAAAGCCUAAAGUACUGCUGGUGGUUUUCAAUUGUGAGAAGCUUGGUAACGGGACAACCACGACGGCCCAAUCUACAUAAGCGGGAAAGCACAGUGCAGACUAGACUUAAGGGAAGCAUGAGGCGGCCUCCACCAUAGAUAGCCACUGCAAAGAAAUGGAGAACCGAGCUCAGCGGUCGAUGGUCUAGACCAGAAAGUAGAGCUAUUAGUCCAUUCGAAAAUACUCCUUCAAGGCUCGUGUAGUCAAAACAUGCUUGGCAGAUUUCGUUUCUAGCUGGAUGAUCAGGUGAUGCCCUAAACACCUUGAAUAGGGCACCUGCCAAUGUGUUCAUGGUAGGUGCCCCUUGCUGCGAACAAAAGCAUUAAUCGUUGGUUAAAAUCAGUGUCUUGUAUUAUGUCGACAAGUUCAUCAGGAUUUUCACUGGCUUGUCUUACCCUAGCCAGGGAGUAGAAGGACUGGGGAUAUCUGCAAAGGAAGAUGUAUCAUUGAGUUGAGGUCGAAGAAGAUCACGAGCACAAUGUGUGAUAGAGCCACAGUCAUUCCUCCUCCAGUUAAAUGCAUCCCCCAUUGGAGAAAGCUGGCAUGCUUAUGUCUGUCACUGUUUUUAUGCUCCCUUUUGUCAAUUGCAGAAAUGAAAGCAUGCAUCAUGCAAUUCAGGAGGGUCUGAGAUAUGUAAUUUGCUUGAUUUUUCUAAUGAAUCAGAAAAGCGAGAAGCAGAUGGUGAUUUCAAACAUAAGAGAUUUCAUUGCUUGGUAAUAUUUCACAUAAAAAAAUCGUUCGAAUAAAAUCUUAGCGACCUGGGGAGCUUUGGUAUGCUUCAAACAGUGUGCCAUUUGAUCACCAUUAGAAACGGAAGGCACUUUCUGUCCAGGAACAUCUACCACGCAGCGAAUCUCGGUACUUCAUGUCCAUGAUUUGCUCACAGAAGGUUGCUAUACUCCAGCACCAAGCUGACAAAUCACUCACACAAUCUGCAAUUACACAAACACUACUUUAACAUUCACUGUUAAAAUUAUAAAUAGUUUUGACACCAAAACUUUUAGUUGGUUCAACAGAUAUAUUGAGGUUCUGGCUGGCCACCUUCAUGGCCUAACCCAAUUAAUUUCAGGUAACCUCCAGGGUGUAGGAGUUCUCCAACAAUUCUGCCAAGUCUCUUUCAAUUUAUUUCAGAAAACCUCCAGGUUGUAAGAGUUCUUCAGGUCUAAUUUUCUGAAAUCAAAUUUUGAGGACAAUCCAAAACAUUUAUUAAAUUUCCUUAACUAGAUCAGACUAAGAAAAACUUUAUCUUGAUCAAAGAGUAAAGAAAUCCAAGAAUAUCCUGUCCGAACUAACAUAUCUAUUUACACACACAUGUAGUAACCUAACGAGGAAGAAGGCUAUCAAGAUCAACAACUAUCAAAAUAAUUUCUGCUCUCCUCAUAUAAAUAUCUUCAAACCUAUAACUUCCCUGUUUCCAUCUCUAACCCCAUUGAUCACUUCCGCAUAAGCCUUAUCACUUGCUUACCAAUGGGAUCAAUGAUUUCACGUACUUUUAUUAAUCUUAACCAUUUGAUUAUACCAAGAGCUCAUCUUUUCGUAGUUUUUUUCUUCUUUGCUACACUAUAAAUUAUUAUUCAAUUCAGAACAUGUACAAUUCUGAUAGAACUGUUUCACGACGGCAGGUCAUAUUAGUAGGGAAAAAAAGAAGAAAAAAAAUCAUUGCAGGAAUUGAAAACUAUCAAUUUGUAACUUAAUUUAAAAUGGGUUUGAUCCAUAAUGAGAUAUAUGGAUGGAAUAGCUCAGAGACGAUGGUUUCUGGCACUUGGGCAUAAUUUUUUUUCUUUACAAGAAUCAAUCUUGACUAAUUUCUAUGUUUGGCCAGCCUUGAUCUGCUUGUGACUUCACAAAUUGAGCCAAGAGCUUAAUCUCUUCAUCCUGCAACCGUGGUCCAAAUGUGCACUGUCCUCUUGGAGUAC
Molecule: long non-coding RNA, 13444 nt
Filed under: Populus tremula
Lineage: Eukaryota; Viridiplantae; Streptophyta; Magnoliopsida; Malpighiales; Salicaceae
Description: long non-coding RNA (PTRE_LNC001036)
Source: RNAcentral